CCGUGCUACACGGGGCGUUAGCGGUGCCUUGUCACCCGCAAUCCGCUGCAGCGGGGUGGAUGCCCGAAUUGAGGGCCUGACUUGUGGGGUCCGGCUUCUGCAAGUGACGUUGAAGAUUGGGUCCUGCGCAACGGAAACCUAUGAACCCCGCCAGGUCCGGGAGGAAGCAACGGUAAGUAGGCCCUUUCGGGUGCCGCAGGGGAGCCUGGUCUGAGUUAACUACAGGGGUAACGCCCGGAAGCCAGUGUUCGAAGUCGGGUGCACGG
The sequence is a non-coding RNA, 266 nucleotides long. It matches the Rfam family "Bacterial large signal recognition particle RNA". From Rfam's summary of the family: The signal recognition particle (SRP) is a universally conserved ribonucleoprotein involved in the co-translational targeting of proteins to membranes. The record is from Rfam.